Molecule: ribosomal RNA, 321 nt
Filed under: uncultured bacterium
Lineage: Bacteria
Description: bacterial SSU rRNA
Rfam family: Bacterial small subunit ribosomal RNA
Source: RNAcentral
GAUAAACGCUGGCGGCGUGCUUAACACAUUCAAGUCGAACGAAGCACUUUAGUCGGAGACUUCGGUCAAAGACUGAUUUGACUUAGUGGCGGACGGGUGAGUAACGCGUGAGCAACCUGCCUUUGUGAGGGGAAUAACGUUGGGAAACUGACGCUAAUACCGCAUAACGUAUGAUGGGGACAUCCCCCGGACAUUACCCAAAAGGAUUUUAUCGGCACAAAGAUGGGCUCGCGUCUGAUUAGAUAGUUGGUGAGGUAACGGCUCACCAAGUCGACGAUCAGUAGCCGGACUGAGAGGUUGGCCGGCCACAUUGGGACUGAG